Sesamum indicum (sesame) is the source of this 152-nucleotide non-coding RNA. NCBI's taxonomy places the organism in Eukaryota, Viridiplantae, Streptophyta, Magnoliopsida, Lamiales, Pedaliaceae. The record is from RefSeq and is a predicted model, not a curated record.
GAUUUUGUUGCAAAUGAGCCGAACCCUCCAGGUGUAGGCUAUCCUGCAGAUCAACACUGUGUCUAUAGUUAUUAUGAUAAAAAUGGUGAAGCAAUCGGGAUACCUACUGCUUCGUCAUGGUUGUGGAUAGUUCCAAAGGGACUAUAUGAUCA